UACAGAGGGGGCGAGCGUUGUUCGGAAUUACUGGGCGUAAAGGGCGCGUAGGCGGCCUUCUAAGUCGAACGUGAAAUCCCCGGGCUCAACCCGGGAACUGCGUCCGAUACUGGGAGGCUUGAAUCCGGGAGAGGGAUGUGGAAUUCCAGGUGUAGCGGUGAAAUGCGUAGAUAUCAGGAGGAACACCGGUGGCGAAGGCGGGUCUCUGGGCCGUAACUGACGCUGAGGAGCGAAAGCGUGGGGAGCGAACAGG
Molecule: ribosomal RNA, 253 nt
Filed under: uncultured bacterium
Lineage: Bacteria
Description: partial 16S ribosomal RNA
Rfam family: Bacterial small subunit ribosomal RNA
Source: RNAcentral